Astatotilapia calliptera (eastern happy) is the source of this 1994-nucleotide long non-coding RNA. The record is from Ensembl. Lineage: Eukaryota; Metazoa; Chordata; Actinopteri; Cichliformes; Cichlidae.
GCUCCUCACACCUCCGUGGACUUUGAUUUCUCUCAUGAACAUUUUUAAAGACGUGCCUUUGCAUCUGUGUUUGUUUAUAAUGAGAGUAAAUGUAAACGUGAUGUGUUGUUUGUGGGUCUUUGAUCGUGUGGAAUAUUUCUGCUGCUGCAGCUGAAAUCCAACACUUUAGUUUUUUCUUUCUAUUUGUUUAACGUGGAAACUUUAAACGUGGUCACAGGACGUCUCCGGUCCAAUAACAGUGCAGGUGUUUGGCAGCAGUGAUGAGUCUGACCUUCACCAGCAGAGGGAUCUAAUAAAUAAGAGUGACGGCGGUUUCUUCAUCUAUAAAAGCUGAGCGGUUUCCUCUGUUACUGCCUGCAGAAGGUAAAUGAAUGUAAGAGCUGGUUUUGUUUAGUUUUUGUUACUUUUAAAUCAUGAGGAGGAGAAGGAGGAGGAGGGGGGUUGUUGGGAUAAGUUCUCAUGAUAAGAACAGGCUGUGAGAGCAGCUGACUCACAGUGAUGGAGACACCCAGAGUCUGAGCAAACGGAUGAUCCAGCUAAGAAAAGACGUUCAUCUGUUUGUAUUUUUGCUUUGUAAGGUCAGAAUCUUCUAGUAUUUUUAGAUAUUUCAGGUGCUUUCAACCAUUUCAGGUUAAAGUUUAGCCUGGUUAUAACAGACAGCAGAUUUCAGGUCCAUCUGCAGGAUCCUCCUCCUCUCCAGACGAAGAUCCAAUCACACCUGAGGAACAAACUGCUGCUCAGGGAAAGGUUUCGAGCUCUUUGAUGAUAUUUUUAGGUGAACUGGGAGAAUCGUUCUGAAUAUGGACGCAGACUCCCUGUGACUGUCGUAUCUGACCAAUAGGAGGUGCUGCAACACAACAUCUGUAUCUCCAGUAAUCAGCAGGCGACCUGUCCAAGGUGUAGACGGAGAUGAUCUCAGUGAUGCAUUCAGGGAGCGUUUGAAGGGCGGCUGCAGGAGGUGAAGCCGAUUAUUCCACGUCCCUCCUGGUUUAAACAGCCCUGUAUACAGGUGCUGCUGCUCUGCAACCACGUCCACCUCCACCCACCUCCCCUUUAAUGCUUUCUGAUCUCCUGCUGUUAGUGACGCUCGCUUUGCUCUGAGCGGGGCAGGAAGUGAACCUGGAAAAUAUGAAUAAGUGUAAAUGGAAUAAAAAGACUAUUUAACUUCUACGUCAGCUCUGUCACCAGCUCCUUAUGGUGCAGGUGAGAGUUUGAUGACCAGUCACAGGGAUGAUGCUGAGUCUGCUGCAGCUCUGUUAAGUUUAUAACAGAUAGUUCUGGCCUCUGAACACCAGCAGCGCUCCAGCAGCCUCCCACGGUCGUGGCCACACAUCUUUUGGUUUGCUGGAUCCACUCCUGCUUCAUCAGAAAACCCAGAUGAUCAGUUUGCAGACUUUUCUAGUCACCUUUUAAGGACUGAGCACAGAUUCUCAAUGGGAUUAAAGACCGGGGAGUUUCCUGGCCUCGGAUGCAAAUUGUUAAUUUUCUGAUCUCAGAGCCGCUUAGUGUUGAGUUUAGCCUCGAGACGCGGCGCUCCAUCAGGCUGGAAAAUGCACAGACUCCAGAACGCUCCUGGAUCUGUGGGAGAGGCUGGUCAUCGAGGAUGUUUGUGGUGUGGUCAGUGCUUAAAAAGCUGAAACCUGUGAUCAGCGUGGAGCUGUGGCAUCCCCAUCAGUCAGCGGUUGGCUCAGAGGCUGAUGUUCAGCAUGCACAGACCUGCAGACGUUCUAAAGAAGAAAGGUCACCACGUCUCAGCUGAAUUUUGAACGUUUUUUCUGAGCUGUCUUUAAACAUCGAUUAUCCUUCAAUAAAUCACAGAAACAUGCAAAGAACUCAAACUAAGUUCUGUGAGGAGCAAACGCUGGGCGUGAGGAGUGAAUGCAGCUCAAAGCUGUGUGAAGUCUCUCUUCUGUUUCACGUUGUAUUUUGACAUAUCUGCAUUUUCACACAUGUCAGAGGGAAUUUGAAUAAAGACAAUAAAAACCAACACCUGU